Molecule: long non-coding RNA, 956 nt
Organism: Octopus sinensis (East Asian common octopus)
Lineage: Eukaryota; Metazoa; Mollusca; Cephalopoda; Octopoda; Octopodidae
Exons: 3
Source: RefSeq, a predicted model, not a curated record
UGUUGGAUGUCAGUAAUAAGUGAUCUGGGGUAAUACUAAAUAUUAAAGGAGAACAUGCAUGAUGGUAAGACUGACCUGAGGGAAUGCUUGCAGCAAAUGGCGAGGUACACCAGUUACCAGCAGAUCCAAAGCAAUUCCUCAUUACUCUGGCGGCAUUGUGAUUGGGGAGAGGCACUUGUGGCAGCCACGUUUGUUGAUGAAUGUUGAGUAGUUGUAGAAAUGACAGAUGGCAUGGUGCAGUGAACAGGGAAAGGAAACAGCAGAAAGACUCAGCAGGAAAAUAGGUUGAAUACCCCAAGUAUAUGCAUUAUUAUAUAUCCCCACCUUUAUCACCACAUUUUAAUGUCUGUUUUGUCCUGUUUGUGUGAGAAGACUUUUUCCUGAGCAGCAACAUCUUGAACUCAAUCUUAACCACUUUGCCCCAAGGCUUUCUUGCUCUCCCUCCUCCACAGGCUCUAUUGAAAUCAAGUUCACUUUUAUAUUUCUCUCAAAAUAUCAAAAUUUGACAUGAAAUGCAACUUGACAUUUUUCAUUUUCAUUUUAAAACUGGCUACAUAAAUUGGCUUACAUUCAUUUUCUGUUUAUUGACAAAUCAAAUGAGUAAUUUAUCACUUUUCUUUGGUUGAAACACUCUUUUGACAGCCUUUAACAGUGGACUGAUGGGAAAGAUUUAGUAAACAAGAAGGGAUCAAGAUGUUUGCUAUAUAUACCUAAAACCACGCUAAUAGCUUAAGAGUGAAAUUUAGGAUUUCUCCAUUUUCUGUGAAUCGAUUUUGAUAAAAGUUUUCCCUGAUGGUUUGCACACUAUUGCAACACUAUUGUUAUUUUUUUCAUUAUUCUGUGUAGCGUCCUUUCUUUUUUUAUUUCCGAUUCUUCAGUUUUGGGGUGAACCACACUAAUAGCUUUUGAAUGAAAAUAGCCCAUCUAGACAUUUUUUCUUUCAGAAAAUGAAGGGU